CCUACGGGAGGCAGCAGUGGGGGAUAUUGCACAAUGGGGGAAACCCUGAUGCAGCGACGCCGCGUGGGUGAAGAAGCGCCUCGGCGCGUAAAGCCCUGUCAGCAGGGAAGAAAAUGACGGUAUCUGAAGAAGAAGCCCCGGCUAACUACGUGCCAGCAGCCGCGGUAAUACGUAGGGGGCAAGCGUUAUCCGGAUUUACUGGGUGUAAAGGGGGCGCAGACGGCGAUGCAAGCCAGGAGUGAAAGCCCGGGGCCCAACCCCGGGACUGCUCGUGGAACUGCGUGGCUAGAGUGCAGGAGGGGCAGGCGGAAUUCCUGGUGUAGCGGUGAAAUGCGUAGAUAUCAGGAGGAACACCGGUGGCGAAGGCGGCCUGCUGGACUGCAACUGACGGUGAGGCCCGAAAGCGUGGGGAGCAAACAUGAUUAGAUACCCUAGUAGUC
RNAcentral lists this ribosomal RNA (440 nucleotides) under uncultured bacterium. RNAcentral's name for it is "partial 16S ribosomal RNA". It matches the Rfam family "Bacterial small subunit ribosomal RNA", at positions 338 to 795 of the family's 1533-position model. The record is from RNAcentral.